CAGUAUUUAGUUUAAUGGUAAAAUAUAAUAUUUGGGUUAUUAAGAUUGGUUACUGAU
This 57-nucleotide transfer RNA is filed under the name Trichostrongylus axei. RNAcentral describes it as "tRNA-Pro". The record is from RNAcentral. Lineage: Eukaryota; Metazoa; Nematoda; Chromadorea; Rhabditida; Trichostrongylidae.